UACGAAGGGGGCUAGCGUUGCUCGGAAUGACUGGGCGUAAAGGGCGCGUAGGCGGAUGGCUUUGUCGGGCGUGAAAUUCCAGGGCUCAACCUUGGGGCUGCGGUGGGUACGGGCAGACUAGAGUGAUGUAGGGGAGACUGGAAUUCCGGGUGUAGCGGUGGAAUGCGUAGAGAUCCGGAAGAACACCAGUGGCGAAGGCGGCCCGCUGGGCAGUGGCUGACGCUGAGGCGCGACAGCGUGGGGAGCAAACAGG
This 253-nucleotide ribosomal RNA is filed under the name uncultured bacterium. RNAcentral's name for it is "partial 16S ribosomal RNA". It matches the Rfam family "Bacterial small subunit ribosomal RNA", at positions 524 to 776 of the family's 1533-position model. The record is from RNAcentral.